Molecule: ribosomal RNA, 484 nt
Filed under: uncultured bacterium
Lineage: Bacteria
Description: partial 16S ribosomal RNA
Rfam family: Bacterial small subunit ribosomal RNA
Source: RNAcentral
AUUGAACGCUGGCGGCAGGCCUAACACAUGCAAGUCGAGCGGAUGAAGGGAGCUUGCUCCUGGAUUCAGCGGCGGACGGGUGAGUAAUGCCUAGGAAUCUGCCUGGUAGUGGGGGAUAACGUCCGGAAACGGGCGCUAAUACCGCAUACGUCCUGCGGGAGAAAGUGGGGGGGCUUCGGACCGCUCGCUACAAGAUGGGCGUAGGUGGGAUGAGCUAGUUGGUGGGGUAAGGACCUACCAAGCCGAGGAUCGGUAACUGGUCGGAGAGGAGGAUCAGUCACACUGGAGCUGAGACACGGUCCAGACUCCUACGGGAGGCAGCAGUGGGGAAUAUUGGACAAUGGGCGAAAGCAUGAUCCAGCCAUGCCGCGUGUGUGAAGAAGGUCUUCGGAGUGUAAAGCACUUUAAGUUGGGAGGAAGGGCAGUAAGUUAAUACCUUGCUGUUUUGACGUUACCAACAGAAUAAGCACCGGCUAACUUCGUG